Molecule: long non-coding RNA, 369 nt
Filed under: Nicotiana benthamiana
Lineage: Eukaryota; Viridiplantae; Streptophyta; Magnoliopsida; Solanales; Solanaceae
Description: long non-coding RNA (NBEN_LNC038893)
Source: RNAcentral
CUAUCUCCAUCGAUAUAAUCACCUCCUCUACUCACCCCCUUAUUCUAUUCCUCCUGGACUACUUAGUCUGACGAAUGCGAUGGAGAACUUUCCGGCAAACUGAGAGAAGAGAGAAUGAAUAAUGGUAAAGGAGAUCUGCAACUUACAAAGUUUCUAACGAUGUGAAAGUUUUUUGGCUGAAAAAGUUCUUUUUCGAUAUGAAAAUUUUGCAAAGUUGUUUUAGAUUUGGGGUUUUUGUAUCAAAUCUAAGAGCAUUUCUUGCUUUCUCGUUUCACAUCAGAUAUGAGGAAGAAAAUGAAGAAAGUGGAGAGUUUUGCGAAAACAAAGUAAGAAAAUCGUCAGAAAAAGGCGAAAGGAGGGGAAUCGUUG